Acinonyx jubatus (cheetah) is the source of this 2407-nucleotide long non-coding RNA. RefSeq lists it as uncharacterized. The transcript is spliced from 4 exons. The record is from RefSeq and is a predicted model, not a curated record. Lineage: Eukaryota; Metazoa; Chordata; Mammalia; Carnivora; Felidae.
UGCUCAGCAACUUGUCGGAAGACGCUAACCACGUCAGUCGUGAGACUUGCAAUCAGGUGACAUCGUGUGAGCACGGUGCCCUGAGAUGUCCCACAACCGUUACCAAAACUUCUCUGGAGACCUCACAUUUACAUGGUGAAGGGAGAAGAGAGAGUUGCAGUCAGGCUUGCCCACUAGAGAGGACAGCGUGGUUAUCAAUCCACUUGGGGGAACUUUCCAAGAGGAGAAGAUCUUUCAGUUGAAUUAAAAGAGAAGAAGGAAGCUUGUGCCGUAUUGGUCAGGAGUGGGAUGUGUAUAUCCCAGCCUUGCAUCUGGACGACAGCAUCCUCCUGGUGAGGAGCUCAGCUUGUGUCCGUGAGGUCACUACCGUAACACCCGGUCACCAAGGGCCGCCUCAAAGGGAGAUGACGUGAGACACAUCUCCGCUUCCAAUACAGGAAAAAGGGGCUCUUGUCGUUGGGAGAGCUUAUCCUCCAGCUGGGGUCAUCUAACUGAUCCCCCUCUUGUCGAAUGCCUUGAUCACAUGCACCCACCAUGGAAGGAAGUUCAGGCUCAUGCUCCUUGACCUCACGAAGCCUCUAAGCCAUAGGCGUGUCCCUUACUGCGUGGGUGGUCAGUGGAACCCGUGUCCUGAGAGAACCCUUAUCUGUCAGGCGCCCCAGACUUCUUAUCUUAGACACAUGGAGAGCGGUAAAAGGACGUACAGAUGGCCACAGGGAGGGCCAAGCACAGUGAAAUUCAAUUUUGGAUUUUUCUGACUCUAACGUUUUUUUUUGGUAAAUAGUCUUAAAUGUGUAGCUACUCUUAUACGAACUGUAAUACGCAAAGGAGUUAUUUGGAAGUGAAAGCACUAUUUGAAGCAUGAGAAAUAUAAAACAAUGCUUAUUCCACAUACCUGAAGCAGUACUAACGUGAUUCUAACAGAGGAAAUAAUUUAUGAAAUCAACGUGCACUUUCUGGUCACGACCUAAGAUAAUUAGCAGGCACCAUUUCAAGAGAAACGUUUCUGUGACUUUGGGGGCAUCUCCUGGCCCAAGCGGCAGCCUCGCCCCCUGAGGGAGGAGCGGGAUCCCACGGGAGGGGUGCCUCCAUCCACCUGUCAUCCUGAAACUGCCCACCACGUGGGUGCUUUUCGAAGCCAAGGAACCAAACGCCCUUAAAGGAAGCACUGGCUUGGGAAACUCAGUGCGAAACCACCUGAGCGGAUCGGGAAAGGGUGAGGCAGGAUUCAAAUGAUGUCCAGACUCCGAACUUACGACGUUAACUCCCCACGCUCACCGGCAACGGCGGUUCACGUUACCCCUUCGGUGUACAACAGCUCUUUAAAUAACUGGAGGAAUCAGCACAUUUCUCAGACAAAAGGCUGAUUAACCUGACGGCACAACAUCCGCUGCAGCCGUUGGCCACACCAGACAGUGAGCCAGGCAGACCGAUGCUCUCGGCGCACCGAAGGCUAAACGACAGCCGUAAAACCAGGGCUUUGAAAUAAAUUGCUACUGACGCAUCAUGGUUUGGCUACGCCCUUCUCUGGCCAUUCGUGUGUGGGGUCUAACGUGUCGUCAAGCAUGGGCACUCUGCAGACACGGUAUUUGAACGGGAAUCCAGGCCAAGUCCGGCCCGAAGCUGUUCUCAGUCUGAGAGCGUCCAUUGAUGGAGAGCGACUCGCGGAGAGCACGUUUGUCACAGCAUGUACCCAGGUGGAAUGGCUGGCGAGCUGAGUGGGCAGCAAGAACUCUGGUCCCGCGGCGUUUGCCCAUCGGGGCUGGACGAUCUCCCUGAAGCGACAGUGAGAUUAAAAAAAAAAAUGCGAAAAGGAGAAGCCAAAUCAUUUCUUUCUGGAUCAGAAAAGGCAUUUAUUGGCUUCUCGAAUGCUGAACUAAAAUAUUUCCCGAGCUCUAAAGACCUACUGUAGGGAGCUUUACCUGUCGGGACCUGUAGCCUGUGACAGCUUCAGUCAUAGCUCAAAAGCUGCAUUGCUUCAGACUGGGUUUCAGCGACGUCAUCAUCAUGGAGAAAGUGAGCCUCCGGGACCUGGGUUCAGGUCUUGGCAGGUAUGCGCAGGUAGAAUGUACUGCAAAUAUUAUUAUUGUAACGUGUCUCUUGAUGAUACUGAACCAUCACAGAUUUUCUGUUGGAUGAUUCUGAACAAAUUUUUCCCUUGGGUUGAGUAGAUUUAGCAAUUAGGAGAUUGUGAUGACCCAAACAGUAAUUCCUUGGGCACACUUACUGAUAUUUAGGCAGAUGUCAGCUUUAGUAGAAUAAAGCUAACAGUUUCCAAAAGAGAUUUAUUAAAAAGACAACUCUCAUUAAAAAAAGAUAUGUCAUUAAAAGGUAUCUCAUAAUAUUUAUGAAAAGGUUUAGAAGGUGUUGUUCUUGAGUUUUUCUUUUUAAGAUAUAUUUUGUUUUU